This is a long non-coding RNA of Camelus dromedarius (Arabian camel), 3193 nucleotides long. RefSeq lists it as uncharacterized. The record is from RefSeq and is a predicted model, not a curated record. The transcript has 4 exons. NCBI's taxonomy places the organism in Eukaryota, Metazoa, Chordata, Mammalia, Artiodactyla, Camelidae.
CUUUUUUGAGUUAGAUCAGGCAUGGAAAAUCUGUUUCAUUUCAUAGGUUACCUUUGAUCAAAUGACGGUUGUCUGGAACUCCUUGUUGAGAAGAAUUCUGAGAUGAUAUCUGGGAUGAUGGAAAAAGAGUACUGACACCAGUCAAAAGACCAAGACAGCUGGAAAGACUGUCAUUCAAACAAUGUUCUAGCCUCAAGCCAAACCAAAGAAGGUCUGAACCUCGUGUUGUUUCUGACAAGGAGUUCCUACAUACCUUGAACUUCCCGGGUGUGGCAAUGUCUUUUGUUCUAAUGAGGCAACUCUGGGUGGGCUCCUGGAUGGAGACUGGCUGCAAGAAAGACCAAGCCAUGAUUAGAAGCUUGGAACUUUCCAUCCCCGAUUCUCCAGGUAGGAGUGAGGGGCUGGAAACUGAGUUAACAAUCAUUCAUGCCUACACGAUGAUACCUCCAUAAAGAGGCAAGGUAAAUGUAUUUGACUACGUUAGCAUUUUAAAACUUGUGAUUCAGGGUUAAGGUGACUACAUAUAUGCACCUGAAGUGGAUGGAAAGGGGGCAAGGCACAACCAUUGAAGGAGUGACACAACAAUUGAGGACAGGACAUAACUGGUUAGAACCAAGAUGGCAGAAUAUUCGACUUCCAGUAGACCUUGAGCCUCAUGAUACACCAACAGGUGCCAUGGCAGUUCCCAGGCUGACCAUAAAGGGUCAGAAAGUGGGCAGGGGGACGUUUCCUGGAAAUCCUUGCCCCUUCCCCAAAGUCAUUGAAAUAAUCCUCCUACCCAUUAGCAUAUGAAAUUGCCAAGCCCAUAGAACCUAAAACUCUGCACCUCCUGGUCACUCUCACUCUCCUCUCUCUCUUGCCUUCUGAGAUGGGCCACACUCUGUCUAUGUAGUGUGUAUCUCCUAAGCCAUUUUCCCUUCUGAAGGAGACAGAUUGCACUCUGUCUAUGGAGUGUGUCUCUCUAAAUAAACUUGUGUUCACUUUACCAUGCCUUGCUCUUGAAUUCUUUCCUGUGUGAGGCAAGAACAUCCCUAACACAUCUAAUUUUGGUUCCUCCCUAAACCCUAGGAAAACCACAAUAAAGGUGUUUAAAUGGACACAUAAACCCUUAAGAACAGGGAGAAUAUUUAACACAACAACAACAACAACAAAAAAAAAAAAAAAGAAAGAAAGAAAGAAAGAAAGAAAGAAAAAGAAAAGGGAGAAUAGAAGGUGACAGCAAAAACAUUUUUAGCAACCAACAAGCAAAUGGAUCAGUAAUAAUAACUAUAGAUAGCUCACCCAUCCUAGGUGACCAGCCACUGGUUAGAAAUAAAACACUUCAUAGAAUUCAUGUAGUUUUAAUUUUAUGUGGGAAAAUAAAUGGGCAAGAACAUCAGAGUACUCCAGAGUCAAAAGGGGUCAUGAGCAGAAUUUGUCCUGGCAGACAUUGAACCCUUUGAGACCCUUGGUAUGUAUAUAAGAAUAUCAACAACAAGAAUAUUAAAAAGCCCAUACCUUCCACCAUACUUGCCAAAAAAUUCCAGGUGGAUUGAAAGCUCAAUACUUAAAAAUAUAAACAGAUAUACUCCCAUGUAUGUGAACAGUCUAGCCCUGGGAGAAAUCACUUUUUGACUGCUGAUGGAAUAGAAAUGAAAAAAAGAUGGACAGGUUUGUUACUUAGAUAGUUUUAACUUUGAUGGAAUGAACAUCAAUAAAGCUGAGAUUUAAAAAUUCAGAAGAAUAGAGAAAAUGUUGGCCCAUAAACACGAAAGUUCAAAAACUGUAAAGUAUAAAAGCUCAUAUCAAUGGGCAAAAAUAUCAACUGUCCAUUAAACAAAUGAUUAAAAGACAGUUCAUAUAAGAAGAAACAUGAUUUUAAAUCAUGGUUUUUAAAAUAUUCAGUCCACCUUGUUGGUAAAAAUGGAACCUACUGUUAAGUUUCAUUUUGAACCUAAAAAUAGAAUUAGAAAAACUUUUGAAAAGUGAUAAAAACCCAAAGCCUGCAAGGCUUCAGGAAAGCAGAGCGGCUCAUGCAUUAAUGAUAGUAAUGUAAAUGAAGCCAGUUUUUCCCAAGGGCAAAAUGAUGCUUUAUUGAAAGAAUCAUAAAUUUGCCUAACCCCUGACCAAGUAAUAGAAUUUAUCCUGAGGAAAGAAUGUUUAAUAAAAAACAAAAAGUGUACAUAUGCAAUGUUUAUUUUAUGAUAGUAAAACACUGGAAGAUAGCUAAGAUGCCAACAAUGCCAAAAUACAGAAGCUAACUUUGGUAUAUCAAAAUGAUAUACUCAAAAUAUAAAGAUGAUACAGGAAAUAGAAAACAUUUGGUAAAAUCAGUAUAUUAUUGGUCAACUACAUCUCAGUUUAAAAAAUGUUUUGGUUUUAAAAUAUAAGAAGGUAAAAUGAAAAUGUUUAGGGUGAAAUGAACCUGUUUCCCAGUGAGAUGGAUUAGCCAGUGACAGACCAGCACUCCCACUUAAAACAACUAGAAAAUCAAAACAAAAAUUAGUAUAGUGAUAUAUAAAAGAUAUAAAAAUGAUACAGGGGAAUAGAAGACAUUUGGCUAAAUCAUAAAAGGAAGAAUACCAGACUGCGUUUACAUCAGAACUUUAAAAGAACCCUGAGUAUGCAGACAUAAAGGAGCCACAAGCACAGAUAGAGGGAACAUUUCUAGAUGGGUUAAGAUCAACAGACUUGUGAAUUAUUCUGUAAAGGUGUUAAAAUUCAAUUUUGAAAGAAUUUACUAUUCCUCUAAUGAGAACAGGAUUUUCUUUGCAGGACACUGAACUGGCUUAUUAAAGAAAUACAGUUCAUUGCUGCCCCCCUGACUGGACAGAUGGAAAGAUGAUGAUGUUUCACUUUGGUUCUGUGAACUUCACUGCAGCUAUAUUUACAUAGAGAAGAGGGUCUUGGCCGAUGUAAUCAAGCUAAAAUUAACUCAUACUGUAUUAGGGUAAACCCUAAUCUGGUGUCCUUUUAAGAAGAUGGAUGUUUGGACACAGGCAAAUAUCAGGAAGACACUGUGUGACAACGGAGGCAGAGACUGGAAUGAUGCAGCUGCAAGCCAAGGAUUGGGGGCAACCACCAGAAGCUUGGAGAGAGGCAUGAGACACUUCCACCCUCAGAGCCUCCACUAAGAACCAACCCUGCCAACAACUUGAUUUCAGACUUCUGGCUCUAGAACUGUGAAAGAAUAAAUUUCUUUUGUUUCAAGCUA